GAUGAACGCUAGCGACAGGCCUAACACAUGCAAGUCGAGGGGCAUCACGGGAGUAGCAAUACAACUGGUGGCGACCGGCGCACGGGUGAGUAACACGUAUGCAACCUGCCUGUAAGUGGGGAAUAACCCGUUGAAAGACGGACUAAUACCGCAUAAUACUGGACAUCUGCAUGGAUAUUCAGUUAAACAUUUAUGGCUUACAGAUGGGCAUGCGCAUGAUUAGAUAGUUGGAGAGGUAACGGCUCCCCAAGUCAACGAUCAUUAGGGGUUCUGAGAGGAAGGUCCCCCAACUGGUACUGAGACACGGACCAGACUCCUACGGGAGCAGCAGUGAGGAAUAUUGGUCAAUGGCGAGAGCCUGAACCAGCCAAGUCGCGUGCAGGAAGAAUGUCCUAUGGAUUGUAAACUGCUUUUGCAGGGGAAUAAAGUUCAGCACGUGUGCUUGUUUUGUAUGUACUCUGCGAAUAAGGAUC
RNAcentral lists this ribosomal RNA (473 nucleotides) under uncultured bacterium. RNAcentral describes it as "bacterial SSU rRNA". It matches the Rfam family "Bacterial small subunit ribosomal RNA", at positions 28 to 494 of the family's 1533-position model. The record is from RNAcentral.